CCUACGGGUGGCUGCAGUGGGGAAUAUUGCACAAUGGGGGAAACCCUGAUGCAGCGACGCCGCGUGAGUGAAGAAGUAUUUCGUUACGUAAAGCUCUAUCAGCAGGGAAGAAAAUGACGGUACCUGAGUAAGAAGCCCCGGCUAACUACGUGCCAGCAGCCGCGGUAAUACGGAGGGGGCGAGCGUUAUCCGGAUUUACUGGGUUUAAAGGGAGCGUAGGCGGCAGGGCAAGUCUGGAGUGAAAUGCGGGGGCUCAACCCCCUGAGUGCUGUUGAAACUGUACUGCUGGAGUGCAGGAGAGGUAAGUGGAAUUCCUAGUGUAGCGGUGAAAUGCGUAGAUAUUAGGCGGAACACCAGUGGCGAAGGCAGCUUACUGG
Molecule: ribosomal RNA, 377 nt
Filed under: uncultured bacterium
Lineage: Bacteria
Description: partial 16S ribosomal RNA
Rfam family: Bacterial small subunit ribosomal RNA
Source: RNAcentral